CAAAGAGUAGUUUAAUAAAAAUUAUAAUUUUGGAGAUUAUAGAUAAAGAAAUUCUUUUUCUUUGA
Molecule: transfer RNA, 65 nt
Filed under: Lethe chandica (angled red forester)
Lineage: Eukaryota; Metazoa; Arthropoda; Insecta; Lepidoptera; Nymphalidae
Also listed under: 2 other names
Description: tRNA-Pro
Source: RNAcentral